GUCUGGAAUUUCAGCAUGGGCUGGGAUUGGUUUUCUGCCAGCCACAAGGCUUUCAGGUUAAGGUUCGUCAAAGCAAAGGGCAAAUUCUGCAGCCUGUUUCCUGCCACGUCCAGGACGUGCAGCUCAGUGGUGUUGGCGAGCUCUGCUGGCAGCAGGGCCAGGCGGUUGUCUCGCAGAGAAAGGACGUUCAGGUUGGCGCAGCCCCCGAUCUCAGCUGGAAGGGACGUCAAACGGUUCCGAUCCACGUUCAGGUUUGUCAGCUUGGUGAGCUUCCCAAGGGACUUGGGUAAGGCUGUCAGCAUGUUCUCUGUCAGGAUGAGUUCUGAUAGAUUUUCACAGUCCCCAAUUGACU
Molecule: long non-coding RNA, 352 nt
Filed under: Gallus gallus (chicken)
Lineage: Eukaryota; Metazoa; Chordata; Aves; Galliformes; Phasianidae
Source: RNAcentral